Molecule: ribosomal RNA, 268 nt
Filed under: uncultured bacterium
Lineage: Bacteria
Description: partial 16S ribosomal RNA
Rfam family: Bacterial small subunit ribosomal RNA
Source: RNAcentral
UACGGAGGGUGCAAGCGUUAUCCGGAUUCACUGGGUUUAAAGGGUGCGUAGGUGGGUUGGUAAGUCAGUGGUGAAAUCUCCGGGCUUAACUCGGAAACUGCCGUUGAUACUAUCAAUCUUGAAUGUUGUGGAGGUAAGCGGAAUAUGUCAUGUAGCGGUGAAAUGCUUAGAUAUGACAUAGAACACCGAUAGCGAAGGCAGCUUGCUACACAAUAAUUGACACUGAGGCACGAAAAGCGUGGGGAUCAAAACAGGAUUAGAAAACCCC